Molecule: long non-coding RNA, 216 nt
Filed under: Ananas comosus (pineapple)
Lineage: Eukaryota; Viridiplantae; Streptophyta; Magnoliopsida; Poales; Bromeliaceae
Description: long non-coding RNA (ACOM_LNC033344)
Source: RNAcentral
GUACUAAGAUAAAAAAGACAAUUUGAUUAAUUCUAAGCAUAUAUUUAGAAAUUGAUCGAGUUUGAAUAUGGUUGUGAUUUGACUCUAGUUUUAUAUGCUAGAGAAUUGGGUUGAAAUAGUUUGUUUCUAAGGACUUGGUAUAGAGAAGAGGUUGGAUUAGGUUGUGCAUGACUUGGGUUUGAGGUUAGGUUUGGACUUUGAUUUGGUUAUUAUGGU